CAGCCGCCACGGGAAUACGGAGGGAGCUAGCGUUGUUCGGAAUUACUGGGCGUAAAGCGCGCGUAGGCGGUUACUCAAGUCAGAGGUGAAAGCCCGGGGCUCAACCCCGGAACUGCCUUUGAAACUAGGUGACUAGAAUCUUGGAGAGGUCAGUGGAAUUCCGAGUGUAGAGGUGAAAUUCGUAGAUAUUCGGAAGAACACCAGUGGCGAAGGCGGCUAACUGGUCCAUAACUGACGCUGAGGUGCGAAAGCGUGGGGAGCAAACAGGAUUAGAUACCCCUGUAGUCCCUGUCUCUUAUAC
Molecule: ribosomal RNA, 301 nt
Filed under: uncultured bacterium
Lineage: Bacteria
Description: partial 16S ribosomal RNA
Rfam family: Bacterial small subunit ribosomal RNA
Source: RNAcentral